GAUGAACGCUGGCGGCGUGCCUAAUACAUGCAAGUCGAGCGAACGGACGAGAAGGUUGCUUCUCUGAUGUUAGCGGCGGACGGGUGAGUAACACGUGGAUAACCUACCUAUAAGACUGGGAUAACUUCGGGAAACCGGAGCUAAUACCGGAUAAUAUUUUGAACCGCAUGGUUCAAAAGUGAAAGACGGUCUUGCUGUCACUUCUAGAUGGAUCCGCGCUGCAUUAGCUAGUUGGUAAGGUAACGGCUUACCAAGGCAACGAUGCAUAGCCGACCUGAGAGGGUGGUCGGCCACACUGGAGCGGAGACACGGUCCAGACUCCUACGGGAGGCAGCAGUAGGGAAUCUUACGCAGUGGGCGAAAGCCUGACGGAACAACGCCGCGUGAGUGAUGGAGGUCCUCGGAUCGUGAAACUCUGUUAUUAGGGGAGAACAUAUGUGUAAGUAACUGUGCAGAUCUUGACGGUACCUAGUCAGAAAGCAACGGCUAACUACGUG
Molecule: ribosomal RNA, 497 nt
Filed under: uncultured bacterium
Lineage: Bacteria
Description: partial 16S ribosomal RNA
Rfam family: Bacterial small subunit ribosomal RNA
Source: RNAcentral